This 4188-nucleotide long non-coding RNA is filed under the name Diabrotica virgifera virgifera (western corn rootworm). RNAcentral describes it as "uncharacterized LOC126888262". Lineage: Eukaryota; Metazoa; Arthropoda; Insecta; Coleoptera; Chrysomelidae. The record is from RNAcentral.
UUCCGUGAACAUCUAUCUGAUUAAAUUAUGGGUGGAAAGUUACCACAAGAUAUUCUAUGAACAUAGUACAAUGUCUUCCUGGAGGGGUAAAAUUUUCCAUUACAAGAUUUUAAGAGAGGCCAUUUAUUGUACUGUUCAAUUUGCGUUCAUUUUCAAAUUUGCCGCGCGAGUAUCUAUGUAGCGUCUCGUGGUCAUUGGUCAUCACAUUUCAUUUUCAUAACAUAACCGAUAACCUAAAAAUUUAGUAAAGUAAAAAUUUUGAUUGGAAAAAAGUGCAUCGAUAAGGGGGUGUGGGAAAUGGAAAUUAGUGGCUUUUUUGCUGUACUGUCUGCUAGUUUUUGCUCUGGGCUCUGGCUAGAUCUCUUGUUUAAACAAUUUUAAUCAGCUGAAAGUGGCCUACAAAAAAAAACCAAGAAGGAAAUGUAUAGCCUUGUGGCUAUGAAAGGCAAAAGAGAGAUAUAAAAAGUGUAUUGGCUAGUUGGAAGAAAGUCCACAUUGUCCAUGCAUAAUAAGUUAUUACUUUAUCAACAAAUAUCAAGAAGAUAGCAGGGUCACGAGCAUCAACUUCAUAAGUUCAAGAAUAUCGAGGAAAUCCAGCUCCUCGAUACUACUGGGCAAACUAGAAGAUUGAAGAGGACAAAUCCUUUUGAACUAGUUUGAGUGAUAGGUGAUAGUGAAAAACGGAGCAUAGUGCUUGUGUGCUGUGCCUGUGUAUGUUAGAAUAAUAGUGCACGAUCUUGUUAGAUUAGAUAAGAGACGCUAUGGGGUAAGCUCUUCAUUUUAAGAAACAGUAGUAAUUUAGGUUAAAUUAAAAUUGCUCAUUGGUCAGUUAUGACCAGAUUGUUUUUUUAUGUUUGGCAAAAAGGACUUAAGUCAGAAUUGCACAUUGAUAAUGUUUUGAUGAUUUCUGGACCAGAAAAAAACUGUUGUAGAUGUAAACUGUAUGUACAGUAGAAUGUACAGUACUGUAGAAAUCAUCAAAACAUUAUCGAUGUGAAAUUCUGACUUAAGCCCUUUUUCCCAAACAUCAGAGAAUUGUAAUGUACAAUAAUUCUCCUAUCUGCUUUUUCAUGAAUUUUGUAGGAGACGAAAAACCAUUUUUAGGAUCAUCUGCUUUCACAUGUAAAUUUUGACAUGUUUUGUAGUAAAUAGAUAGUUGAAUUUACUACAAAACAUGUCAAAAAAUAUAUGAAAACAGGAGGUGACUAUAAAAAAAGUUUUUAGUCUCUCUUACAAAACUCAUGAAAAAACAAAUUGGAGGUAUGUCACAUCAGUGACUAAGAAUGUCUAAAAAAUAUACUUUGAUGUCCCAAGAACCAAAUAUAACCUACAGUCCAUCUAAUUUACUUACUGUUCCACGUCAUUAUCUACGCCAGAGAUCUAAGUUGACAUAGUUGCCAAAGUAUAAAAAGAUCCUGAAUCCAUUUUAAAUCAAAUAUGUCACAUAAUUAUUGUAAACGUGGAUUAUACAACAAAACAAAUUAAUAUUCAAUGUAAAUAAGUAAAAACUUAAGAAAUAGAGAACAAGAAUUAAGUUAUAAUCUUUUAAGAUUUGCAGUGCAAGAGUUUUUGCACUGCAUUGUUAAUAAUUAAAAAACGGCUCCGAACUCUUGGCAAAAAGCCGGUAGGUUUCUUUGUAUAAGUAUGUCUACAAUAACAACUAAAAAAGUUGUCAAAUACCUCGAUUAUUCCAAGUCGUUAUAAAAUUAGGUGAAAUUUAUAUUUUUAUAGUAGAGGAUCUUUUUAUAGUAAAGUAAAUAAUAAAAACAGUAAAUAUAAUAAAUAAAACAGAUACUUAUAGUAAAGAAUAUAAACAAAUAUGAAGUGUCAUCACCGUAACUGUCAAAUAAAUGUUACCAAUUUAUUCUAAAAUGUCACCUUCGUUCGAUUACAGUUACAGUGUGAUCCGAACAAAUCUGCUUCAUAAAAACGCUUUAUAAUCCAUUUAUACAAAUUAAAUGAAACAUAUUAUUGUGUAUUUCUUUAGGUUAACAUUAAUAGAAAUCUUCAAAUAUUAUUUCUACGCGUAUAUAAUAAAAUAUGUCUAGUGGUUGUAAUUCCAGUGUACUCGGCAAAGUGAUUCUAAAAAAGAACACACCUACCGCCUAAAUAUUUCGUGUUGGUAUCAUGCGACCUCACAGGCUACGACGUGGAUGACGCGCAACAGUUAGUAAAUUAGACGAAGUAUGUAGAUAUAUACAGGGUGUAACAAAAAUACAGGUCAUAAAUUUAAUCACAUAUUCUGGGACCAAAAAUAGUUUGAUUGGACCUAACUUACCUUAGUACAAAUGUGCACACAAGAAAAGUUACAGCCCUUUGAAGUUAUAUAUAUAUAAUAGCACCAAGGGUCUUAGAGGCCCAUGGCUUGAAAAGUUUGUUUUUUUUCUUCAUUUUCACGUUUCUUUAUGUACUGAGAUCUUCUCUGGCUUGAUAUGUGAUUUUUCUGCAUUCCUUCCUGUUAUUCAUUUUUCUUUUCUGACCCUGUAGCACCAUUCUUUCCAAAUCUUUUUCGACCUCUUGCUUCCAUCUAUUUUUCGGCCUUCCUCUUCUCUUUCUUGAAGCUGUAGUGUAGUUUAGUACCAUUUUUGGAGUCCUCGUGUUUGGCAUCCUUUCAAUGUGACCUCGCCAUCUAAGUCUCUGUGCCUUUAUCACUCAUUUGAAGUUACAAGAUGAAGUGAUUUUUUCCAAUAUAUCGAAAACUAUUAGAGAUUUUUUAUUGAAAAUGGACAUGUGGCAUUAUUAUGGCAGCAGUAUCUUACGAAAAAACUAUAGUAAAAUUUGGACACCCCAUAAAAAUUUUAUGGGGGUUUUGUUCCUUUAAACCCCCCCAAACUUUUGUGCACGUUUCAAUUUAAUUAUUAUUGUAGUACCAUUUAAACACAACGUUUUAAAAACUUUUUUGCCUCUUAUUGUUUUUUCGAAAAGUCAAUUUUUAUCGAAAUAUUUUGAAUAUUUGUCAAAUCCACCACAUAUUUGUAUAUGGUUAAGUACGAUUAUGGAGACUUGGUAAUAAUAUGCAGACUUAUUUAUGCUUUACAUUUUUAGGGAUAUUUUGAACCAUAUUAAAAAAGAAGCCAGAUCUCGAUAAAAUGUGCCUUAUCGAAAAAAUACAGAGGCAAAAAAGUUUUAAAAACAUUCUGUUUAACUAAUGGUACCUCAGUAAUAGUUUAAUUGGAACGUACACAAACAUUUGGGGGGUUUAAAGGAACAAAACCCCCAUAAAAUUUUUAUGUAGACAUGUUAAAAAAGAAGUCACAACUCGAUAAAAACUGCCUUAUCUGAAAAAUACUAAGAAACAAAAAUAUUGAAUUUAACUAAUGGUACCACAAUAAUAAAAUUGAAUUGGAACAUACACAAAAGUUUGGGAGGAUCUAAGGGAUCAAAACCCCCAUAAAAUUUUUAUGGGGUGCACAAAUUUCACCAUAAUUUUUCUUUAAGAUAUUCCUGACAUAAUACUGCCACAUGUCCAUUUUCAAUAAAAAAUCGCUAAUAGUUUUCGAUAUAAUCGAAAAAAUCGAUUUUCAUUUUGUAAUUUCAAAGGGCUGUAACUUUUUUUAUGUGCAUAUUUGUACUAAGGUAAGUUAGGUUCAUUCAAACUAUUUUUGGUCCCAGAAUAUGUGAUUUAAUUUAUGACGUGUAUUUUUGUUACACCCUGUAUAUACAGCCGAUUACGCACCACCUUAAAAAUUGGGCAUUUUUGAUGUCUCGAAUUUCCUAAACCUGUUGUUGCAUCUAAGUGAUUUUUUUAUAAUAUUCUAGCCUAGGCCCUAGGCUAUAGUUUAAGUACCUCCUUAUGCUUGUCAUGCACAGGGAGCUAUACUGUUAUAUAUAUUAUAUCACAUCGCACUCUAUAGUAAUGAGUGAGCCUGCACAUAUGGAACCAUUUGUUUUCUGUCUGCAGGCUCACUCAUUACUAUAGAGAGCGAUAUGAUAUAAUGUACAUAUAUUACAGCAUAGCUCCCUGUGCAUGACAAGCUUAAGGAGGUAACCUAUAGCCUAGGCUAUAAUAUUAUAAAAAAAUCACUUAGAUGAAACAACAGGUUUAGGAAAUAUGAGACAUCAAAAAUACCCCAUAUUUAAGGUGGUGCGUUAAUUUCUUGGAGAAGUGUAUUGUAAUUUAAUGUAAAUAAUGUAAUAUCCAAUAAUUGUAAUUUAAUAUAAGAUGUAAUAUAAGUUCCUUAAAAAAUA